CUAUGCGCCUUGCCAGCCGCUCAGGGGUGCCAGCCGCCGCGGUAAUACGGAGGAUGCGAGCGUUAUCCGGAUUUAUUGGGUUUAAAGGGUGCGUAGGUGGUUAAUUAAGUCAGCGGUGAAAGUUUGUGGCUCAACCAUAAAAUUGCCGUUGAAACUGGUUGACUUGAGUAUAUUUGAGGUAGGCGGAAUGCGUGGUGUAGCGGUGAAAUGCAUAGAUAUCACGCAGAACUCCGAUUGCGAAGGCAGCAUACCGGCGCCCUACUGACGCUGAGCACGAAAGCGUGGGUAUCGAACAGG
Molecule: ribosomal RNA, 297 nt
Filed under: uncultured bacterium
Lineage: Bacteria
Description: partial 16S ribosomal RNA
Rfam family: Bacterial small subunit ribosomal RNA
Source: RNAcentral